CCUACGGGAGGCAGCAGUGGGGAAUAUUGGGCAAUGGGCGCAAGCCUGACCCAGCAACGCCGCGUGAAGGAAGAAGGCCCUCGGGUUGUAAACUUCUUUUAUUCGGGACGAAACAAAUGACGGUACCGAAUGAAUAAGCCACGGCUAACUACGUGCCAGCAGCCGCGGUAAUACGUAGGUGGCAAGCGUUAUCCGGAUUUACUGGGGGUAAAGGGCGUGUAGGCGGGAGAGCAAGUCAGCCGUGAAAUUCCAGGGCUCAACCCAGGAACUGCGUUGUAAACUGUUCUCUUGG
RNAcentral lists this ribosomal RNA (292 nucleotides) under uncultured bacterium. RNAcentral's name for it is "partial 16S ribosomal RNA". It matches the Rfam family "Bacterial small subunit ribosomal RNA", at positions 338 to 644 of the family's 1533-position model. The record is from RNAcentral.